This 848-nucleotide ribosomal RNA is filed under the name Sporacestra pertexta. RNAcentral describes it as "SSU rRNA". It matches the Rfam family "Bacterial small subunit ribosomal RNA", at positions 370 to 1210 of the family's 1533-position model. Lineage: Eukaryota; Fungi; Ascomycota; Lecanoromycetes; Lecanorales; Ramalinaceae. The record is from RNAcentral.
AAUAGCCCAACGGCUGAACCAGCAACUUGGAAGAAUGUAUAGCAAUGGCUAAUUGUGUAAUAAUAUGCAAUAUCAACUUAGUUGAAUAAAGUUCUGGGUGAACUUUGAUAAUGACAUUGUUUAUCCAUAUGUCUUGACCAAAUUACGUGCCAGCAGUCGCGGUAACACGUCAAAGACUAGUGUUAUUCAUCUUUAAUAGGUUUAAAGGGUACUUAGACGGCAAAUCAAGCCUUAGGCGGUACUAAUUUGCUAGAGUUAAAUACAAGGGGGCUUAAAAGUACUUUUGGUUUAAAGAUGAAAUUUAUUGAGACCAUUUCCAAAAGAAAAGUAGGCACAGGUAAAGGCGAAAGCAUCUCCCUAUGUAAUAACUGACGUUGAAGGACGAAGGCUUUGAAUAGCGAAUAGGAUUAGAUACCCUAGUAGUCGAAGCAGAAAAUGAUGAGUGUCAUAGACUAGACAAAUGUUUAGUGUAUAAAUGAAAGUGUAAACACUCCACCUUAUGAGUAAAGUGGCAACACCGAAAUUGAAAUCAUUAGACCGUUUCUGAAACCAGUAGUGAAGUAUGUUGUUUAAUUUGAUAAUCCGCAAAAAACCUUACCACAACUUGAAUAUUUAUAUUAUUUGUGUUGUAAAUUAAAAAAGUAAAAAUACUAUAAAUUAAACUAAACAAUUCAAUUCAAUAUAUAUAUUUACAAGCGUUGCACGGCUGUCUCCAGUUAAUGUCGUGAGAUUUGGUUAGAUCCAUUAAAUUAACGUAAACCCUUGCUUUAUUUUUAAAUAAUGCAGUUCGUCCAUCACAUUGGAUAUGAUAAAAGGGCUAAGACAAGUCAUCAUGGCCUAAAUGUUGU